GAUUAACGCUGGCGGCGUGCAUAACACAUGCAAGUCGAACGAUGAAACUUAACUGAUUUCUUCGGAAUGAUUUUAAGUGGAUUAGUGGCGGCCGGGUGAGUAACGCGUGAGUAACCUGCCUUGGAGAAGGGGAUAGCCUUUGGAAACGAAGAAUAAUACCCUAUGAUAUGAUAAUAUCUCAUGAUAUUAUCAUCAAAGAUUUAUCGCUCUAAGAUGGACUUGCGUCUGAUUAGUUAGUUGGUGAGGUAACAGCUCACCAAGGCAGCGAUCAGUAGCCGGCUUGAGAGAGUGUACGGCCACAUUGGGACUGAGACACGGCCCAGACUCCUACGGGAGGCAGCAGUGGGGAAUUUUGCACAAUGGGGGAAACCCUGAUGCAGCGACGCCGCGUGAUUUAGAAGGCCUUCGGGUUGUAAAAAUCUUUUGUAUGGGAAGAAAAUGACAGUACCAUACGAAUAAGGACCGGCUAAUUACGUG
RNAcentral lists this ribosomal RNA (477 nucleotides) under uncultured bacterium. Its description in RNAcentral is "partial 16S ribosomal RNA". It matches the Rfam family "Bacterial small subunit ribosomal RNA", at positions 28 to 507 of the family's 1533-position model. The record is from RNAcentral.